Transfer RNA from Photobacterium profundum SS9, 73 nucleotides. It matches the Rfam family "tRNA". From Rfam's summary of the family: Transfer RNA (tRNA) molecules are approximately 80 nucleotides in length. Their secondary structure includes four short double-helical elements and three loops (D, anti-codon, and T loops). Further hydrogen bonds mediate the characteristic L-shaped molecular structure. tRNAs have two regions of fundamental functional importance: the anti-codon, which is responsible for specific mRNA codon recognition, and the 3' end, to which the tRNAs corresponding amino acid is attached (by aminoacyl-tRNA synthetases). tRNAs cope with the degeneracy of the genetic code in two manners: having more than one tRNA (with a specific anti-codon) for a particular amino acid; and 'wobble' base-pairing, i.e. permitting non-standard base-pairing at the 3rd anti-codon position. Lineage: Bacteria; Pseudomonadati; Pseudomonadota; Gammaproteobacteria; Vibrionales; Vibrionaceae. The record is from Rfam.
UCCCUCUUAGUUCAGUUGGUAGAACGCCGGACUGUUAAUCCGUAUGUCACUGGUUCAAGUCCAGUAGAGGGAG